Molecule: long non-coding RNA, 865 nt
Filed under: Homo sapiens (human)
Lineage: Eukaryota; Metazoa; Chordata; Mammalia; Primates; Hominidae
Description: non-protein coding lnc-WIF1-6:14
Source: RNAcentral
GAGCUCAUUGAUCAUCAUAACAGAGUCUAUUGAAAGUCCUCAGCAGGCGGUGUGACGAUGUGACCAGCUCUGGCCAAGGAGCUGUAGGCAGAAGUGUCUUGCAGCAGCUCCUGUAAAUCUUAAAAGACAGCUGGUGCGUGUCUUUUUUCCUUUUUUUUUCCCUUCCCCCUUCCUGCUGCGCUGAAUAUGGAUAUGGUGAGUGAAUCUAGAGCAGCCAUUUGGAGGUAUGAAGAGAUCUUGGAAAUAGAGGCCAUGUGUGUUGAAACAAGACCGAACAACUCCAAGUUCCUGAAGACUUCAUUUCACCAACCCAGAACCUCCUUGAUCAUCACAGCCUUUGCAUGGAUGAUUGUCUGUCCUCUGUUGGGCCCCUUCUGAAGAGUUGGAGUUGGCUUUAUACAAUUAUUCCCAAAUCUUCUAAACUGACAGUGAGGGAGAGUAAUUUGAAAGGACUGCUCAACUCAACGUCAUUUGAAGAUUUGCACCACAGCUGCAUUUUUCCAAUUUCCUGGCAUCUAUUCUGCUCUCCUGGACUUUUCAAAAACAAUUUCUUUCAGAUCCCUGGAGGCCUCUCCCAGGGCCUGUGGUGUGGAGAGUUGGACUUGACCCUACUGUAAGAGACCCAACUUCCAAAGACUGCAUCAGAUGAAAGGCUCUCCAUAUAGACUACAGACUUGUCAGCUGGUUAAGGAGGCAAACAGAACAGUCUGCUACAAACUCCAGUCCAUGUAUCUGUGCUGAAAAUAAAAGGAGUCUUCAGGAAUCAAAGAAGAAAAUAUUUUUAUAAAGAAAUUUUAUUGCAUAAUUCUUGUAUACAAUAAACAUAGGAAAAGGGUUUUUAAUGAAAAUUCAUGUCAUUUUUCAA